GGAUGCGAUCAUACCAGCACUAAAGCACCGGAUCCAUCAGAACUCCGAAGUUAAGCGUGCUUGGGCGAGAGUAGUACUAGGAUAGGUGACCUCCUGGGAAGUCCUCGUGUUGCAUUCC
RNAcentral lists this ribosomal RNA (118 nucleotides) under Triticum urartu. The record is from RNAcentral. Lineage: Eukaryota; Viridiplantae; Streptophyta; Magnoliopsida; Poales; Poaceae.